RNAcentral lists this ribosomal RNA (599 nucleotides) under Klebsiella oxytoca. RNAcentral's name for it is "bacterial SSU rRNA". It matches the Rfam family "Bacterial small subunit ribosomal RNA", at positions 79 to 674 of the family's 1533-position model. The record is from RNAcentral. Lineage: Bacteria; Pseudomonadati; Pseudomonadota; Gammaproteobacteria; Enterobacterales; Enterobacteriaceae.
UGCUCUCGGGUGACGAGUGGCGGACGGGUGAGUAAUGUCUGGGAAACUGCCUGAUGGAGGGGGAUAACUACUGGAAACGGUAGCUAAUACCGCAUAACGUCGCAAGACCAAAGAGGGGGACCUUCGGGCCUCUUGCCAUCAGAUGUGCCCAGAUGGGAUUAGCUAGUAGGUGGGGUAACGGCUCACCUAGGCGACGAUCCCUAGCUGGUCUGAGAGGAUGACCAGCCACACUGGAACUGAGACACGGUCCAGACUCCUACGGGAGGCAGCAGUGGGGAAUAUUGCACAAUGGGCGCAAGCCUGAUGCAGCCAUGCCGCGUGUAUGAAGAAGGCCUUCGGGUUGUAAAGUACUUUCAGCGGGGAGGAAGGCGAUAAGGUUAAUAACCUUGUCGAUUGACGUUACCCGCAGAAGAAGCACCGGCUAACUCCGUGCCAGCAGCCGCGGUAAUACGGAGGGUGCAAGCGUUAAUCGGAAUUACUGGGCGUAAAGCGCACGCAGGCGGUCUGUCAAGUCGGAUGUGAAAUCCCCGGGCUCAACCUGGGAACUGCAUUCGAAACUGGCAGGCUGGAGUCUUGUAGAGGGGGGUAGAAUUCCAGGU